GAUGAAGAACGUAGCGAAAUGCGAUAAGUAAUGUGAAUUGCAGAAUUCAGUGAAUCAUCGAAUCUUUGAACGCACCUUGCACCCUUUGGCAUUCCGAAGGGUAUGCUCGUUUGAGUGUCAUUGUACUCUCACACUUCCGAUCUUUGGAUUGGGAGCAGUGGACUUGGGUGUUGCUGCUUACUGUGGCUCACCUCAAAUCGAUUCGUGCACCUCUUGGUUGGACAUAGUACGGCGUGAUAAGUGUCUUCGCCGGCACCUCAGUAGAGGGUGGCUGAUCGGGAGCUCUGUGCUUCAAACCGUCCUCGGACAACAACUGACAACUUGACCUCAAAUCGAGUAGGACUACCCGCUGAACUUAAGCAUAUCAAUAAGCGGAGGA
This 379-nucleotide unclassified non-coding RNA is filed under the name soil metagenome. RNAcentral's name for it is "partial contains 5.8S ribosomal RNA, internal transcribed spacer 2, and large subunit ribosomal RNA". The stretch from base 1 to 120 matches the Rfam family "5.8S ribosomal RNA", at positions 35 to 154 of the family's 154-position model. The record is from RNAcentral.